Molecule: ribosomal RNA, 486 nt
Filed under: uncultured bacterium
Lineage: Bacteria
Description: partial 16S ribosomal RNA
Rfam family: Bacterial small subunit ribosomal RNA
Source: RNAcentral
AUUGAACGCUGGCGGCAUGCCUUACACAUGCAAGUCGAACGGCAGCACGGGUGCUUGCACCUGGUGGCGAGUGGCGAACGGGUGAGUAAUACAUCGGAACAUGUCCUGUAGUGGGGGAUAGCCCGGCGAAAGCCAGAUUAAUACCGCAUACGAUCUACGGAUGAAAGCGGGGGACCUUCGGGCCUCGCGCUAUAGGGUUGGCCGAUGGCUGAUUAGCUAGUUGGUGGGGUAAAGGCCUACCAAGGCGACGAUCAGUAGCUGGUCUGAGAGGACGACCAGCCACACUGGGACUGAGACACGGCCCAGACUCCUACGGGAGGCAGCAGUGGGGAAUUUUGGACAAUGGGCGAAAGCCUGAUCCAGCAAUGCCGCGUGUGUGAAGAAGGCCUUCGGGUUGUAAAGCACUUUUGUCCGGAAAGAAAUCCUUGGCCCUAAUACGGUCGGGGGAUGACGGUACCGGAAGAAUAAGCACCGGCUAACUACGUG